Molecule: long non-coding RNA, 659 nt
Filed under: Cricetulus griseus (Chinese hamster)
Lineage: Eukaryota; Metazoa; Chordata; Mammalia; Rodentia; Cricetidae
Description: lncRNA (ENSCGRG00000025029.1)
Source: RNAcentral
AUGUCACUACAGCAGGGCCUUGUGUGAGUCUGGGAGCGUAAUUAGAUGGAGGCAUUACAAUUGUCCUCUGUUGAAAGCUCCUCUAUGACUUUGUCUGCCCUUACAUCAUUAGUUUGUUUUUAAUCUAAUGCUUUGCCUCUUCCUCCCUCUCUCCUGCUCGCCAUCUCCCUCCAAAUCAAAUCAUAUCAACAAUGAAAGAAACCAAGGAAGCUCAGAGUUUUGCAGCUUUAAGAAAACUGGAUCACGGAGAGAUUUUCACAAGACUCUUCAGAAACAGACUUUUGAGUCAGAAACUCUGGAGUGCAGUGAACCGGCCGCUCAGCCUGCAGCCUGAUGAGCGGCUAGAAAACCUGCUGCAGCUUCUCAGUGCUGAGGACUUUGAGAAGAAGAAAGAGGAGGCCCGCAAGACCAAUCGACCAGCUGAGCUCUUUGCCCUGUAUCCAUCUGUGGACGAGGUGGGUGCGGGUUUCCAUAGGCAAGAAUAUUGGCGACAACAAAAAACUGAAGCAUUUUUCUGCUCUCUGCCCCUGCAGAGAACUGUGUGAAUGUCAGGGUGUCAGGGUGCUCACUGUUUUUCACAGAGCUGCUUGCUGAUCAUUAUACUGAUGGGAUUCUUACAACAAUAACUAGAAAUAGCACUUAAUCCUCUAAACAUUUCA